AUACAAACGUUACCAAAUCAAGUUUCAAGUUUCAAGUUUCAACGCAUCUCCUUUGCAGUCCAUUUUCUUCACAUCGAGAUCGAAUUUCUUUCUCGUUCUCUUCCGACUCAAGUUUAUCUAUCCAAAUCGGUUUUGCUUAUUCUCGAUUUAGGUCACAUACCUCAAUCGGUUCAUAUUCUUAUUCUCGAUCAAGGUUUUGCGAUUUCAGCGCGAUUUGAAUCAUUCUCGAAAUUUCGAUUCAGUUUUUCGAUUUCGAUCUCAAUUUUGGUGCUAGAGUAUCUGGCUGUGGGCAAGAUACUGACAUUUGAACAUAUCAAUCGUGGUCUCCCAUGUCAUGGAAUGGAGAGCAGGUCUAAGAGUCCUUGUUGUUGAUGAUGACCCAACAUGACUUAGGAUCCUUGAAAAGAUGCUCAAGAAGUGUUCCUAUGAAGGUUCUUGUUCUUGCUACUCUUUCUUUCAACUCAUCACUAACUAUAUAUGCCACUCUUCUUAUCUUAUUUAUAUAUUAUGUGCUAAGUUUGAAGUAAUAAUUAAUUGUUGCACUAUGGACUAUGCUUCUCCAAAAUUGAUAAUAUGAAAUUUUCUUGAUUGCCUUUAAUGAUAUUUUUGGGUCUAAGUUACUAUCUGAAUUUUACUGUGUUAUGUUAAUAGAAAUGAUCUAACAUGUUAAAAUUGAGAAUAUUUUAAUAUUUUUCCAUUUUAUUUAAUCUUUUUUAUAAAAAUAAAUCUUUUAAGAUUAUUUUAUUUUGUUUUUUACUUGAUAACUUAGUCAUUUGAGGUUUCAAGAUAAGUUUUAUUUCAUAAGAAACGAAAAAGUUGGGUAAUUGAAAUCAGAACAAUUUAUAAGUUAGUGAUUCUAUUCUCUGUUACCAUGUUUACUAAAAGAAGUUCUCUUAUUGAAUUUCAUGUUUGUUAAUCUUUCAGCCAUGAGUAUUAACUGUCAUUUGGAUAAUUGAUGCAGCAGUAUAGGCAUCUAGUGUUUUAAUUUAGUCAUGUGUUAACAAAACAUGUAUUUAAAUUUCGACAAAAAUAGAGAAAAACGCAUUCUUCAAGUAAAAUUUAUGAAUUGAAGUUUAACAUGUAAAAGUCAAUUAAUUGAUGAAGAUAAAUGCUUUGAUGCAUAAUCGAAAACUAGCUAACACUAAGUUGAAAUACGGGGAAGGAACACUCAAAUUUUAUCUAUAAAUAGAAGAAGAAAAGAAUUGAUGGAAACUUCCAUUCCAAAACAUAAAAUCACAUUAAAAUGCUGCAAAAUUUUUAAUCACACGCUACUAAAGAUUAUAGAGUGCAAGUGCAUGUGAAUAUUGUGAGUUAAUUUUUUUUAUUGUUUAUUUUAAUUUUGCAGAGAUCAUGUUGACAACAAUAUAGGCACCUCACAAUAAUUAUUGCACCCAUAAUAUUGCAAUCCACAAAAAUAACUUGCAAAUUUAAAGUUUGAAAUUCAGAGACUUUUAUGUCAAAAAGCAUGUAGAACAUAGGAGUUUGUUUUUCCAAAUUUUGUUUUCCAAAUUCAUAAGAUUGUUGUUGAUUGCUUUUUGGUAGGCAUGACCGGUCCAAGGCGGUAGAAAUCUUAGUAAAGGAUUUGAAAGUGUUUGCUACUUUUAAUGAAGAAUUGUUCAAAGAAAUCACACAGCUUUUGACAUUGGAGAAUUUUAGGUUUGGGUAUAUAUAUUGGCAUCUUGUGGGUUUUGGUGUUAUCGUUGUCCAAAAAGUGAGCAUUGAUAGGAUUUCGAACAAUUUCCAAUUUUAAAAUUGUAAAUAGGCUACUUGAAUCUGUAUAUAGGACAAUUGUUUAUGUUGUUGUCUUCCUGGGAUGUGUUCUGUUCCAUAGUGCUCCAUUGGAUGCAGGGAGAAUUUUCACAGUUCUUGCAACAUUGAGGAUCAUGUCAGAACUAGUUAGGAUGAUCUCUGAGACUCUCUCUAUUCUUAUCCAAGUUGUGGUAUAUUUCGAUCGGCUCAAUACCUUUUGCUUGCUGAAGAGUUAGGCAGUAAUAAAAUUGCAAGGAGUGUUAAGCAAAGUUCAGUUGGUGACAACAAUGCUGUAGAAAUUGAAGAUGAAAACUUUACUUGGGAUUCCAGACCACCUGCUGAGAUGAACUUGGUUGACUGGUUUAAGGGACUGGUAACAAGUUGUCGCAGCGAUGAGCUAGUCAAGCAGAUAAAUACAUUUUUCUAGAAUUAGUAUAAGGACCAAGUUUUUUAUGUAUACUAUGUAUCACUUUUCUUUUUCUUUUUAUAUGAAAUAUUCAUAGAGUUUAAGUGCUAUAAGUAUUUUUUUUCUUUAUUCAUUUUAUUUGCAUCACAAAGCAAACUUGUACAAUGAUUAUUGAUUUAUGAAAGAGGCUAUAAAAAUUUCAUUUUGUGA
This is a long non-coding RNA of Arachis stenosperma, 2365 nucleotides long. RefSeq lists it as uncharacterized. The record is from RefSeq and is a predicted model, not a curated record. The transcript has 4 exons. NCBI's taxonomy places the organism in Eukaryota, Viridiplantae, Streptophyta, Magnoliopsida, Fabales, Fabaceae.